This 573-nucleotide ribosomal RNA is filed under the name uncultured fungus. Its description in RNAcentral is "eukaryotic LSU rRNA". The stretch from base 211 to 364 matches the Rfam family "5.8S ribosomal RNA". Lineage: Eukaryota; Fungi. The record is from RNAcentral.
AAGUCGUAACAAGGUCUCCGUAGGUGAACCUGCGGAGGGAUCAUUACACAAAUAUGAAGGCGGGCUGGAACCUCUCGGGGUUACAGCCUUGCUGAAUUAUUCACCCUUGUCUUUUGCGUACUUCUUGUUUCCUUGUGGGUUCGCCCACCACUAGGACAAUCAUAAACCUUUUGUAAUUGCAAUCAGCGUCAGUAACAAAUUAAUAAUUACAACUUUCAACAACGGAUCUCUUGGUUCUGGCAUCGAUGAAGAACGCAGCGAAAUGCGAUAAGUAGUGUGAAUUGCAGAAUUCAGUGAAUCAUCGAAUCUUUGAACGCACAUUGCGCCCUUUGGUAUUCCAAAGGGCAUGCCUGUUCGAGCGUCAUUUGUACCCUCAAGCUUUGCUUGGUGUUGGGCGUCUUGUCUCUAGCUUUGCUGGAGACUCGCCUUAAAGUAAUUGGCAGCCGGCCUACUGGUUUCGGAGCGCAGCACAAGUCGCACUCUCUAUCAGCAAAGGUCUAGCAUCCAUUAAGCCUUUUUUUCAACUUUUGACCUCGGCUCAGGUAGGGAUACCCGCUGAACUUAAGCAUAUCA